Molecule: RNA transcript, 4201 nt
Organism: Malania oleifera
Lineage: Eukaryota; Viridiplantae; Streptophyta; Magnoliopsida; Santalales; Ximeniaceae
Gene name: histone-lysine N-methyltransferase ATX2
Exons: 28
Source: RefSeq, a predicted model, not a curated record
AAAUUCAAAUAAUUCCCAACCUCUCCCCCCCAAAUCACAGACAUCAGCGUCUGGACAGAACACAGAUACAUAGCAGGAGCGGUGGUAUCUAGGUCUUCAUCCAUGGCAUUACAGCACAAGGAAGAAGAACAAGCGGAAGAAGAACACAAACAGCGGCAUCACCGCCACCAAGUGCUCCAAGAAGACAACAAUAUCGAUACCAGGGGUGGCACUCCCAUACGCUACCUCCCUCUCUGCCACGUUUACUCCGCCACCUCUCCCUGCGUUAGUGCCAGUGGUUCCUCCAACGUCAUGUCCAAGAAGGUUAAGGCUCGAAAGCUAGUCAUCGUCGAUCCUUUGGAUGGUCCUGAUCAGAAGCCACCUUUGCCACCGCCACCUCCGCCGUCGCCAGUCCAGCAGCCGCCUCUCACCGCCGUCUAUUCCCGCCGCCACAAGAGGACCCACCAUUCCUCGGAAGGAAAGUGUCCCGCAUUCUUUGAUUCCUUGAUGAAACGCCCUGAAUUGCCACAACCAGCGAAGUCCGAGAACUUGGAGUUGUCUGACGGGGAUAAUUGCGAGAAGGGUUGUGUAGAACCGGAUGAUGUCGUAGUUGAAUCGAACAAGGUCGAGAGGGUGUUGAAGAAGAAGAGGAGGAGGAUUGGGAAUUCUGAGCUAGUGAAAUUAGGGGUAGAUUCGAGCACACUGCACAGGCUUGACAGGCCUCGAUUAAGAGAAAGCAGAAACCACAGCACAAGCAGUGUUUCCCGAAUGAGAGAUCGCCCGCCUUCUACUGAUUUCCCAAAGACCUCUUUUUCAGGCUCCGAUAGCACGAAGAGAUGGACGAGGUUGGAUUGUGAAGGUGUUGAUCCCAAAACAUUUGUUGGAUUACAAUGCAAGGUUUACUGGCCAUUGGAUGAUGAUUGGUAUGCUGGUCGUGUUAUCGGGUAUAACUUGGAGACUAACAGACAUCAUGUUGAAUAUGAAGACGGCGACGCAGAAGAUUUGAUUAUUUUGAAUGAGAAAAUUAAGUUUUAUGUUUCUCGUCUGGAUAUGCAGCAUUUGAAGCUGCGUUGUGGUACAAAUAGCACAGACAAUGAUGAGCUUGAUUAUAGUGAGAUGGUUGUGUUGGCUGCAAGUUUGGAUGACUGUCAGGAGCUUGAGCCCGGGGAUAUUAUAUGGGCCAAAAUAACUGGUCAUGCUAUGUGGCCAGCCAUUGUUGUGGAUGAAUCGCUCAUGGGUACUCGGAAAGUUCCAAAUAGAAUGUUAGGAGGGAAAUCUGUUCCUGUGCAAUUUUUUGGCACCCAUGAUUUUGCAAGGGUUACAAAUAAACAGGCAAUAUCAUUUCUUAGAGGACUUCUCUCUUCUUUCCACCUGAAGUGCAAGAAACCACGUUUCCUUCGAAGUUUGGAAGAAGCAAAAACGUAUCUCAGUGAACAAAAGCUUCCCGGAAGAAUGCUGCAAUUGCAAAAUGGGACUGAAGAUGAUGAUUGUGAAAGUGCUAGUGAGGAUGAAGGAAGUAUUCAUUCUCAUGAAGAGGGAGAUGAUGAGAUACAUAGAUCACUAGAAGGUCUUAGAACUUUCCCAUUUCAAAUCGGGGAUUUGGAAGUAAAAAGCCUUGGUAAAAUUGUUAAGGACUCGGAGUAUUUCCAAGAUGGGCAAUUUAUCUGGCCUGAAGGAUAUACUGCUGUGAGAAAGUUCACAUCAGCAACAGAUCCAAGUGCGUGUGCAUUAUAUAAGAUGGAAGUGUUGAGAGAUGCUGAAUCAAAGUUUCGACCUCUAUUUAGAGUGACGUUGGAUAAUGGAGUGCAGUUUGAAGGAUCCACUCCAUCUGGUUGUUGGACUAAAAUUUACAGAAAGAUUAAGAAGAUGCAGAAUUCUUCUUCUGAUGGUGCUACUGCUGGAAAUGGGGCAGCAAGGAUUUUGGAAUCUGGUUCAGAUAUGUUUGGUUUUUCCAAUCCUGAAGUUUUAAAACUCAUACAGGAGUUGUCACACUCCAGACUGACUUCAAAAUUCUCUGUUUCUAAGUCAACUUCUGGAAAAUAUCGAGACCUUCUUGUUAAUUACAGACCUGUUCGUGUUGACUGGAAAGACCUUGAUAAGUGCAGUGUUUGCCACAUGGAUGAGGAGUAUGAGAAUAAUCUGUUUCUGCAGUGCGAUAAGUGCAGAAUGAUGGUCCAUGCUAGAUGCUAUGGGGAGUUAGAGCCUGUUGAUGGAGUACUAUGGUUAUGCAAUUUAUGCCGCCCAGGGGCUCCAGACUCUACACCACCAUGCUGCCUUUGCCCAGUUAUAGGAGGUGCUAUGAAGCCCACAACUGACGGGCGAUGGGCUCAUCUAGCUUGUGCCAUAUGGGUACCUGAAACUUGCUUAUCUGAUAUCAAGAAGAUGGAGCCUAUUGAUGGGUUAAGUAGGAUAAAUAAGGACCGCUGGAAGCUUUUAUGUAGCAUUUGUGGGGUUCCUUAUGGGGCUUGCAUACAAUGUUCAAACAGUACUUGUCGUGUUGCGUAUCAUCCACUCUGUGCACGUGCUGCCGGCCUUUGUGUUGAGCUUGAAGAUGAGGAUAGACUCCAUCUCAUUUCUGUAGAUGAUGAUGACGAGGAUCAAUGCAUUCGCUUACUUUCCUUUUGUAAGAAGCAUAGGCAGCCCUCCAAUGAGCGCUCAGUCGCCGAUGAACGGAUUGGACUAACUGCCCGUCAAUGUUCAAACUACACCCCUCCAUCGAAUCCAUCUGGCUGUGCUCGUACUGAGCCCUACAAUUAUUUUGGGAGAAGAGGACGCAAAGAACCUGAAGCCCUCGCAGCUGCAUCAUUGAAGCGCUUAUUUGUUGAGAACAGGCCAUAUUUAGUUAGUGGUUAUUGCCAACAUGAAUGCUUGGGCAGCCCUCUUUCCACCAAUGCAGUUAAAGGCUCUAGAUUCCCCUUUAGGCUUCCAAAGUUGAAAGCCUCUGAGCUUGAUGCUCCUAAAAACAUUCUUUCUGUGGCUGAAAAAUAUACACACAUGAGAAAGACUUUCAGAAAAAGACUAGCAUUUGGAAAAUCAGGAAUACAUGGAUUUGGCAUAUUUGCGAAGCAUCCACAUAAAGCAGGUGACAUGGUAAUUGAAUAUGCGGGCGAACUUGUUAGACCCCCAAUAGCUGACAGGAGAGAACACUUCAUAUACAAUUCAUUAGUGGGUGCUGGGACAUACAUGUUUCGAAUUGAUGAUGAACGUGUCAUUGAUGCCACGAGAGCAGGAAGCAUUGCUCAUUUGAUUAAUCACUCCUGUGAACCAAAUUGCUAUUCCAGAGUUAUAAGUGUUAAUGGUGAUGAGCAUAUAAUUAUAUUUGCAAAACGAGAUAUUAAACAAUGGGAAGAAUUGACAUAUGACUACAGAUUUUUUUCAAUUGAUGAACAACUGGCUUGUUAUUGUGGCUUCCCGAGAUGUCGGGGUGUAGUUAAUGACAUUGAAGCAGAGGAACGAGCAGCAAAGCUAUAUGCACCUCGCAGUGAAUUGAUAGACUGGAGGGGAGAAUGAGGGGAAGUUUCUCAGCAUCACUAUAUGCCAGUGUGAGAUCCGUCUCUAUAAAGAUGGAUCAAUCCCUCCCAAUCUGCUUACUGUGGCCUGCCGUUUUGUCAAAGGCAGAUAGGAUAUUGUUGGUAUAUGAGAUCCACAAGAAAGUUCAAGUGUUCAAGGCUCCAACCUUUCCUCGUAUGCUUUGAUUAUGUGAGAAUAUGCAUAACGAUGGGGGCUGGUGGUGUGGAUUCCCUGAUCUAUUCUAUAAUACACAGAAAGUAUGUGGAGUCAUCGGCUAGAUCGCAGCUUAAUUGAAAUUCAGUUCUCAAAGUUAAUUAGGGGUUUUUUAGUUCGACCAUACAGCGGUUUCAAACUGUUACAAGCCAAAUAAAACAAUAGACAAGAUAAUAAUAUAAGGUGGGUUUUUGACCCCCUUGGCCCGCCCUUGCUGCCUUCAGCUUCAGCAUCAGCUUCAGCGAAUGUAUAAUCACAAAACUGGAAACUGUAUGCUGUUUAUUCACCGACUGCUUCACUGUUUCUGGCGCUAAUUGUAAUAAUAUUUUUUAUUAGUUAAUUAAUUUAUUUAUAAAUCAUUCUUAUUGCUAACUGCCUUUGGCUUUGUAGUUUUACUAGUACUGAGCUGAAUGCCAUGAGCUAUAAGAGAUAUAAUGGCUGUAUUGGUAUCCAUAAUAAUUAAAUUUGAAUUUUGAAGACUCAUAUGAGUCCCACACAA